RNAcentral lists this long non-coding RNA (236 nucleotides) under Linum usitatissimum (flax). RNAcentral describes it as "long non-coding RNA (LUSI_LNC000430)". Lineage: Eukaryota; Viridiplantae; Streptophyta; Magnoliopsida; Malpighiales; Linaceae. The record is from RNAcentral.
AUAGUAGCUUGGUUUUGCAUCUUUUCUACCGCAUUCCUUAUUUAAUGUGUCCUGGAAGACAUAGAAACCACUUUAGUCUCUCUUUGUCUGCUACAGGAGAUGUCACUAUUCAAACAGAAAAAAGGGUAACUGGAGCAACAAUCCAGCUGUUUGAAUUUGUUCCUAUCAGUUUACAGUAGGCAUCUUCAUCCACAACAACUUGAGCUAUCAUAAUUCCAAAUAUGCAGUAAAAUAGC